AGAGUUUGAUCCUGGCUCAGAUUGAACGCUGGCGGCAUGCCUUACACAUGCAAGUCGAACGGCAGCGCGGGGCAACCUGGCGGCGAGUGGCGGACGGGUGAGUAAUAUAUCGGAACGUGCCCUGGAGUGGGGGAUAACGCAGCGAAAGUUGCGCUAAUACCGCAUACGAUCUAAGGAUGAAAGCGGGGGACCGCAAGGCCUUGUGCUCCUGGAGCGGCCGAUAUCUGAUUAGCUAGUUGGUGGGGUAAAGGCCUACCAAGGCAUCGAUCAGUAGCUGGUCUGAGAGGACGACCACCCACACUGGAACUGAGACACGGUCCACACUCCUACGGGAGGCAGCAGUGGGGAAUUUUGGACAAUGGGCGCAAGCCUGAUCCAGCAAUGCCGCGUGAGUGAAGAAGGCCUUCGGGUUGUAAAGCUCUUUUGUCAGGGAAGAAACGGUGGGGGCUAAUAUCCCCUGCUAAUGACGGUACCUGAAGAAUAAGCACCGGCUAACUACGUGCCAGCAGCCGCGGUAAUACGUAGGGUGCAAGCGUUAAUCGGUAUUUACUGGGCGUAAAGCGUGCGCAGGCGGUUUUGUAAGUCUGUCGUGAAAUCCCCGGGCUC
RNAcentral lists this ribosomal RNA (606 nucleotides) under uncultured bacterium. RNAcentral describes it as "bacterial SSU rRNA". It matches the Rfam family "Bacterial small subunit ribosomal RNA", at positions 8 to 610 of the family's 1533-position model. The record is from RNAcentral.